AUUUAUAUAGUUUAUAAAAAAUAUUAAUUUGUGGAAUUAAAGAAAUUUAUUAAUUAUAAAUU
Molecule: transfer RNA, 62 nt
Filed under: Mengenilla moldrzyki
Lineage: Eukaryota; Metazoa; Arthropoda; Insecta; Strepsiptera; Mengenillidae
Description: tRNA-His
Source: RNAcentral